AGGGGGUGCAGGUUAUCUCAUUUAUCACAUUUACUGACAUACAAGGGGUGCAGGUUAUCUCAUUUAUCACAUUUACUGACAUACAAGGGGUGCAGGUUAUCUCAUUUAUCACAUUUACUGACAUACAAGGGGUGCAGGUUAUCUCAUUUAUCACAUUUACUGACAUACAAGGGGUGCAGGUUAUCUCAUUUAUCACAUUUACUGACAUACAAGGGGUGCAGGUUAUAUAAUUUAUCACAUUUAC
Long non-coding RNA from Eriocheir sinensis (Chinese mitten crab), 244 nucleotides. RefSeq lists it as uncharacterized. Lineage: Eukaryota; Metazoa; Arthropoda; Malacostraca; Decapoda; Varunidae. The transcript has 3 exons. The record is from RefSeq and is a predicted model, not a curated record.